This 253-nucleotide ribosomal RNA is filed under the name uncultured bacterium. RNAcentral describes it as "partial 16S ribosomal RNA". It matches the Rfam family "Archaeal small subunit ribosomal RNA", at positions 474 to 727 of the family's 1478-position model. The record is from RNAcentral.
UACCAGCACCCCGAGUGGUCGGGACGAUUAUUGGGCCUAAAGCAUCCGUAGCCGGUCAUGCAAGUCUUCCGUUAAAUCCAGCCGCUCAACGGUUGGGCUGCGGAGGAUACUACGUGGCUAGGAGGCGGGAGAGGCAAGCGGUACUCAGUGGGUAGGGGUAAAAUCCUUUGAUCCAUUGAAGACCACCAGUGGCGAAGGCGGCUUGCUGGGCAGUAGCUGACGCUGAUGCGCGACAGCGUGGGGAGCAAACAGG